This is a long non-coding RNA of Engraulis encrasicolus (European anchovy), 3062 nucleotides long. RefSeq lists it as uncharacterized. The transcript is spliced from 5 exons. The record is from RefSeq and is a predicted model, not a curated record. Lineage: Eukaryota; Metazoa; Chordata; Actinopteri; Clupeiformes; Engraulidae.
UAAAUUAGUUCUACACCAAGCCUUUAGGUGGCAGUAAAACUAAUUCGCACAAUGCGAAUUCCACACACAAGCCACAAAGAAGCCAUCAACCGCGGUCAACAACACCUUCCUGAUUGAACAGAACCACGCGCUGUCUGUGUGGUUUCACUGUUACAAGUUUCUUGGCGAUAUGGGGGGAAAGUUCCUCACAUACCAACGGAAAAUGGGCUUCACAUACAUGUAAGUACAUUUUACUCAACUGUGGUUUAAAGUUUCAGUACUCAAGAGCGAUUGAAUAGCUCCUCUGAACACAGAUCCGCCAUUGCUAAGUUGUAGCACAGCCGGUUUACAUAGCUGGUAGCUCAAGUCCCCUCAAUAAAUGUGACCACUCUAGUUGCUGCUGUACGCUAGUAAAUUCUGAUGACUUGCGAGCAUCGUAAUGACAAAAUGCUGUGGUGAAACAGUGAAUAUGUUAAGUAUACUUGUUGAUGGUAAAUUGUUUGACAUUGCUCGUUCUCAGUUGCCUUUCCCCUGCCUAAAGAUAGACAAAGGCUACCGUUAGCAUGCUAUUGCGUUAGCUCAUCAACUAGAUGCUGGGCACUGCUCAUUUUUCACGUCUGCCCGGCAUUUCGCUGAUGAACUAACGCUUAGACGUCUUGCCAAUGUAUUUUACAGCGGCAAAAAUGCAUCUAGGCGACGUUGGCAAGACUGGUGUGCCGUCUGGGUAUGUUGGUUUUCAGUGCUGGGCAGUAGCGAAGCGACUAGUUUAAUUACAUUCCCUAGUAGCUUGGUCGUAGCGUCACUACUAUGUAUCGAGUACGUCCCUGUAGUUAAGCUAUUUUUCCUCAAGUAGCGACGUAGUCUACAAAAGCUACAAUUUGUCCCGCAUCGAUGUUACUCAAUGAUUUUUGUUUUACUUUCUCUAUCCUGAAACCUAGGCAGUCACACAGGGGUUCCAAGACCCACCUGCGUGAAAUCAAGUCAAAGGCUGCUGUCUCAUAUGGCGAAGACGAGUCACUUGAAGGCCUAACUGCUCUUAUGAGGAGCAGUCUCGCCAUAGAAGACUGAAAGAAUGAGCUGUAGAAACAACAGUGUCCUGCAGGAUGCUGUGUCCUGCAAUCCUGUGUGCUGUGCUACAGACGCGUGUGGAGGUCAACCCGAAAUGGGCACAGUCUCACCACAGAAGAGUGAAAGAGGAUCCUGGCAGGGAGACGGUAGUGUCCUGCAGGAUGGUGAUGGGCCAAUCUUACAAGAGACCACAGAAAACUGAUAUAGUGUAAGAUUAUCCCUGUUGGGCUCAAUAUGUCUUGCUUAUUGAUAUAUUUGCUAUGUCAAUAUGAGGUGCAUGGCGAAGUAUUUAUUUAUUUGUCUCGCUUCUAGGAACUAUAGAAACAACAGAGUGCCUGCUGCAGUAUGACGAGGACGCCCUCAUCAGAGAGCUCCAAUAGACCCAGGUCCAGUGUCUUGGCAGGGUGAAAUGGCACUGAUAUGGUGUCCUGCAGGAUGCUGUGUCCUGCAAUCCUGUGUGCUGUGCUACAGACGCGUCUGGAAGCCAACCCGAAAUAAGCACAGUCUCUCCACAGAGGAGUGAAAGAGGGUAAGCUUAACCUAUAGCCUACGUCAGUGGUGGGGAACCUUUCUCAUUCGAAGGGCCAAUUCAAAUUCAUCCGAGGGGCCGUAAAAGUCCUCCAAGGGCCGUACUAUGAACACAAACCAGGAUUUUCCCCUUCACUUUAGACCUAUAUUGAAGGCAGCCACAUUUAAACAAACACCACCUUCUUCAGGUUCCCUGAAUAUAACUUAAUUGUAUUGCAAAUGUAUUUUCUAAGAUUCCUUUACAAAAUAUGUCAUAUUUCAUGUGAAGCUGAAUAACAUUAAAAUUAUAUCGGGGGCCAGAUAAAACGGCCUCAAGGGUCGCAAACGGCCCUCAAGACAUAGGUUCCCCACCCCUGGCCUACAUUGGCAAUAUGACUUGUGCUACUUUAUAGUUAAGCUGUCAAUGCUGUGCAUUGCUAUGUUUUGAUUUAUUUUCUUACAUCCUACAGAUCCUGGCAGGGAGACAUAGUGCAUGAGACCAUAGAAGACUGAAAUAGUGUAAGAUUAUCCCUGUUGGGCUCAAUAUGACUUGCUUAUUGAUAUAUUUGCUAUGUCAAUAUGAGGUGCAUGGCGAAGUAUUUAUUUAUUUGUUGUUUCUACAGCUCCCAGAAGUGAGACUGAGUGCCUGUUGCAGUAUGACGAGGACACAGUGACCAGAGACCUUCAGUAGACCCUGCUGGCAUGAUUGGCGGCUGAAGAACAUGAAAUCAACAGCAAUGUUUAUAAUAUUGUACAUACCUGUAUAGUCUGUACUAAAAUGCAGUACCUGUACUAUUUUUCCUCUUACUUUCAUAUUUACCACGUAUUUACUAUGAAUUGACAGCUUUUACUCAAAUCCAUUUUUGUAUGUGCCCUGACUAAAACUAUCCUUAAACCUAACCUGUCAGAGGUGUAACAACAACCUGCUCUUAGCAAUGUGGCAGCAGUCUACUUGGAUGCAGCGGGGAACAUAGAACCCUUUUUUGAAAAAGCAUUGUAUGUUUCUGAGUUUUAUGAAUUGUGCCCUUCCCAAAACCAUCCUCAAACCUAACCUGUCGGUAAUGAAAUGUUUCUGAGUUGUACAUUGGUGACCUGAGUGCUGUAUACAUCACUGCAUAUAGAGUAUAUUGUUUGCAGGGUAUGUGUGUAGUUUUAAAUUAUUUAUUUUUAUGAAAUGCAUGGUUCCUGUCAAAGUGUGUGUACAUUGUUUGGUGUGAUAUUAAAAGCGUUAAAACAAUUCAUUUUCAUUUCAUUCAUUUUAUCAAUAAAUUCACAUCAUGCAUGCUAAAGCCCCAUCACAGUGCAGCCUAUAAUGAUGUGAAUAUAAUGAUGUGAAUAUACAAAGUAAAAUCAACCUAGGUAUAUUAGUAAUAAUAUUUUUUGCAUAAUUAUACGGACCUACUGUAUACGGUAUGCAUAAAUUAAUCCAACGUGACCAAUAGAAGGUCGUAGCUGCCGACCCUGCUAACCAAUAGCGCAGCUCUUUUACUUUGAGUCACGUGUCUUUU